UCUUUUCAUUGUGUGCCAGCCGCCGCGGUAAUACGGAAGGUCCGGGCGUUAUCCGGAUUUAUUGGGUUUAAAGGGAGCGUAGGCCGGAGAUUAAGCGUGUUGUGAAAUGUAGACGCUCAACGUCUGCACUGCAGCGCGAACUGGUUUCCUUGAGUACGCACAAAGUGGGCGGAAUUCGUGGUGUAGCGGUGAAAUGCUUAGAUAUCACGAAGAACUCCGAUUGCGAAGGCAGCUCACUGGAGCGCAACUGACGCUGAAGCUCGAAAGUGCGGGUAUCGAACAGG
RNAcentral lists this ribosomal RNA (284 nucleotides) under Segatella copri DSM 18205. Its description in RNAcentral is "Prevotella copri DSM 18205 partial 16S ribosomal RNA". It matches the Rfam family "Bacterial small subunit ribosomal RNA", at positions 493 to 776 of the family's 1533-position model. Lineage: Bacteria; Pseudomonadati; Bacteroidota; Bacteroidia; Bacteroidales; Prevotellaceae. The record is from RNAcentral.